AAGUCGUAACAAGGUUUCCGUAGGUGAACCUGCGGAAGGAUCAUUCAUGUAACAAUGAAAGGGUCAUUUCUCUUCGGGGGAGUGACUUGAUCGUCCAACCUGUGAACAUUAUUAAUUUUGGUGACCUAGUAGUGUUGAUGCCACCUCUUGCGGGAACAAGGGAGGAGGCGUUGACCAGAAGCAGGCGCCAGGGGCUUUGCUAACCAUUUUUACAUUAUUGCCUAAAAAUUUAAGUGAAUUAUUAUAACCUUUAACAAUGGAUCUCUUGGCUCCU
RNAcentral lists this unclassified non-coding RNA (274 nucleotides) under fungal sp. RNAcentral's name for it is "partial internal transcribed spacer region". The stretch from base 1 to 46 matches the Rfam family "Eukaryotic small subunit ribosomal RNA", at positions 1786 to 1831 of the family's 1831-position model. The record is from RNAcentral. Lineage: Eukaryota; Fungi.